Molecule: ribosomal RNA, 1998 nt
Filed under: Meredithia compaginata
Lineage: Eukaryota; Rhodophyta; Florideophyceae; Gigartinales; Kallymeniaceae
Description: eukaryotic LSU rRNA
Rfam family: Eukaryotic large subunit ribosomal RNA
Source: RNAcentral
CGGAGGAAAAGAAACUAACCAGGAUUCCCCUAGUAGCGGCGAGCGAAGCGGGAUGAGCCCAAGAUGAAAAGCCUGCUUGCAGGCAUUGUAUUUGAGCGUCUUUGGGGUGUCAGUGCGAGCAAGUUGUAUGGAAAUACACGCCGUGGAGGGUGAGAGCCCCGUCCAACUCGCACAGGACACGCCGUACAAAGUCGCUUCAGACGAGUCGGGUAGCUUGGGAAUGCUGCUCUAAUUGGUGGUAAAUCUCAUCAAAGGCUAAAUAGCGGCCGGAGACCGAUAGCGAACAAGUACCGUGAGGGAAAGAUGACAAGCACUUUGAAAAGAGGGUGAAAAGAGCCUGAAACCGUCAUGGGGGAAGCGGAUUGCGUUGGACUGAUGGGUUGUUGUGUGUUCAGCCGUUUCGGUGCAUUGACGCAGCAACUUAUCUGCCGUGGGUUCUGGAUGGUCGAUUUUGGACUAUCUAGGGCUGAGGGCUCCCUUUUAUAGGUGAGGACGGUGGAGCAACGACGCGAUACGACCCGUCUUGAAACACGGACCAAGGAGUCUAGCGCGGGUGCGAGUCAGAGGGUGCAAGCCCGUGGGCAAAGUGAAAGCGAGUGUAAAAACGAGCAGUUUGGGGCGGCAUGAGAUCGUUGAUCUCAAGACCGACCCUGAGCAGUUGCGCUGGGACCCGAAAGAUGGUGAACUAUGCCGGAGUAGGGCAAAGCCAGAGGAAACUCUGGUGGAGGCUCGUAGCGGUGCUGACGUGCAAAUCGCUCGUCGAACUUGGGUAUAGGGGCGAAAGACUAAUCGAACCAUCUAGUAGCUGGUUCCCUCCGAAGUUUCUCUCAGGAUAGCGGGCCGACAUGUGUUGUUUUGUGCGGUAAAGCGAAUGAUUAGCGCACUCGGGGGCAGUUAGCCUUCGGGCGAUUCUCAAACUUUCAAUGCGCAAGGGUGCCGCUGCUUUGUUGAGCGGCACCGGCAAAAACGUCGGCCCUGUGGGCCACUUUUGGUAAGCAGAACUGGCGAUACGGGAUGAACCGUAAGCGUGGUUAAGGCGCCUCACUGCCCGCUUAGAGAUCCCACAAAAGGUGUUGAUUCAUCGAGACAGCAGGACGGUGGCCAUGGAAGUCGGAAUCCGCCAAGGAGUGUGUAACAACUCACCUGCCGAAUGAAUUAGCCCUGAAAAUGGAUGGCGCUGAAGCGGGCGGCCGACACCACGCCGUCUGAUAAAGAAUGAUGAUCAGAUGAGUAGGAGGGCGUGGUGGCCGUGUCGAAGCAUGCGUGCAGACGCGUGUGGAACGGCCACUAGUGCAGAUCUUGGUGGUAGUAGCAAGUAUUCAAGCGAGAUCCUUGAAGGGCGAAGCGGGGAAGGGUUCCACGCGAACAUUGAUUGGGCGUGGGUGAGUCGUUCCUAAGCCGAGUGGCGAUUGCUAAGUAGCGGCGAAAGGGAAGCGGGUUGACAUUCCCGCACACGGAUGUGGAGGCGGUGACGCGUAUUGGGGCGAACACGCUGGCGACGGCGCUGGGCAGAGUUGUCUUUUCUGUUUGACCAGUUUUGCAUGCGGUGUGGAAUCCGCUUGUCGGGAGAAACACGCGUGUCGGGGCAGAGCGCCGAGUGUUUUUCGGCGUCCAGCUCGCCGUCGACGGCCCUUGAAACUUUGCCUGCUGAUUUAAAUCCACGCCGUGGCGUACCGAUCACCGCAUCAGGUCCCCAAGGUGAACAGCCUCUGCUCGAUAUGAACAAUGCAGGUAAGGGAAGUCGGCAAAUUAGACCCGUAACUUUGGGAUAAGGGUUGGCUCUAGUGCUGCGUGGGAGUGGUUGCCGAGUGUCGGGGCUUUUAGUGAGGCUGGCUUGGCGCGGGACCCUUCGGGGACCUGUUCCGGCUGCCGAGCUCAUCGUUCCGCGUUCGGCGACGCCCACAGCAUGCAGCAGACUAGAACUGCAACGGGCAAAGGGAAUCCGACUGUUUAAUUAAAACAAAGCAUUGCGAGGGCCGUGGCCGGUGAUGACGCAAU